AUUCUUCAGUUUACAUCAACAUUAUUUCUUCCAAAGGUACCCGGUAGUAAAAAACAAAAUACAAAAGCUGAUGAGAGAAUAAAACAGACAACCAGACCAAAAUGGCCUCGAAGAGCAGCAUUAGCAAAAAAAAGUUAUAAGGAUUACUCAAAUUCAGAGUCAGAAAGUGAACAGGAAUCUUCACAGUACUUACGUCGGAAAGAAAAAUUCAGAGUACAGCAAGAGCACAAAAAUGGCCAAAACAAAGCUGUGAGUCAACACAAGGAACUACAGAACAAUGUUUCUACAGAGCCAAAAAAGGGAAUAUCAAGAAAUCAACAGCAAAUAUUUACUAAAUCAAAAGACCCUAUAAAACAAAGAAAAUUAGAAAUGUCACCAGUAGCCUCACCUGAAAGCCCAGCAUCUGUUGAGACGAUGAGAUGUGUGUAUUAUUUUGUAUUUUAAUUUUUAAAGUUGUCAGCUCCAGUUUUGGAUAUGAAUUAAUUAAUGUCUCUCUGUAAUAUUAAUUCAUUUCAAAUAAUUGCUUUAAAAAUAUAUGUACUAUAUUCUCUUUACGUCCAUUUAAGGUACAACAUUAUAUGUUAAAAUGCAGAAAAUACAUAGGUGUACUGUCAUCAUUGUUAUAGAUAUUAUGGUUGAUAUUUCAUACCAGAGUGUAAUAGAAAUACAAUGUAUCAGUGAAAAGAACAGUUGGUAAUUUACUUUCUAUUAAAAUAUAGUAUAAUGAUGAGCAAUGCUAAGUAAAGCAAUUUAUUUCCUGUUGUGUAGACUUUAAGGACAAAGCACUUACAUGAAAGUAACUCAAUUGUGAUAUGAAAAUAUAUUUCUAAAUAUCCAUCUGUGCCAUAUGAAAGGUAUAGCAUUUUAUUACAAAAUCCAAAUAUUAUAUGGUCAUGGGCAAAUACAUGUUUUUUCUUUAUAUGGUCAACACUCGAAGUUCCAGUAUGUAUUUUACUUGACUGCUUAUUCAGUUUCAAAGGCAGUUUUUAAUAUGAAGGUAUACCUUAUUAAAGGAUAGGAUUUUCAUGGGGAAAUCCCAGUCCAUUCAGUUUGCAAUUCUUUUUUUCUAACACUAUGGACUGUAUUUUCUAAAAAGUAUUAUAGUUCUUAGGUCAAAUCUGGACCGUUGAGCACCCACAACUCCUGUUCAAGGUAACUGGAGUUACAGGUUCUCAAAGACAUUCAAGACAACCCCUUGAAAGCCAGCAACAUGACUUUCUGGCCAUCCUUCCAUGGAACUCUCAAUGACAUCAGUGGGAAUUCUGUACACAGAGAAGACUUGUGAUAUGAAGUAUAAAAGAAAAAGGUGUUAAGGCAUAAUAUCCUCAAUUAAGUGUUUAUACUUAAAAGGUGCUGAAAAAGUACCAGAGGAAACAUUUACCCAGGAACAGGUUUCCUUGAAAAGAUCAUCAUCAUCAUAUCUUCAGGACUCAACACCAGAAAAGAGGGAGUCCUUACGCAUUGUGAAAGGAAUUUCAGCUAACAAGCUUUAUACAACAAAAAAGAAUAAGCAAAGUAUACAUCUAAAACAAUCCCCUGAAAAUGUCAAAAAGUUGGUAUUUGGAAAUGAAAGUUUAUCACCAGUUUUAAGUUCACUUUCUUUGGUAAGAAUUUAAAGUUACUCUUUACAAUUAUUUCAAUGUCUGCAUUAUCUUAAGUAAAGUAUAUAGUAUUCAUUAAUUAAUCAGAACAGUUUCUUCAUUUGGAUGUUUUCAGGGGAACUGAUUUAGUCUAUUUAUAGUGAAUGAGAAUUACUUCUCAUAGUAAUAGGAAUAGAAUUAGUAUGCCAUUCUAACAAGAAAGCAGGCCUGUAGAAGGUGGUUACAUUGUAUUCAACCAGGUGCUUUUGUAAGUGCAAAAUUCCAUGCUCUUUUUCAGAACAGAAGUAUCCAAAAAGAGAUUUAAAAGAUGGAACAUUAAAGCACAGAUAUGAUAAAUAUAAUUUAUAUUAUUUUAUAUUUAUGCAGUUCAAGUAUUUAACUUUAAGAUUUGUUGUAUGGUCUCUUUUUUUACUUGGUGUCAUGAUUAGGACAGAUGCGUAAUCAAGAAAAUCAAGUAGUGAAAUAGGCUGUUCUAAUCAGGAAUACUAGUGUAAUAAUCAUGGGAGGAAAUUUACAAUAAUACAAAUAGUAUUGCUAAGAGGUCCCAACCAAGAUUGGGGCUGGCCCCCUUCUUUUAGCUGCUUUAUGUAUACAUAGUAAGAAGUAGUCCUUGCUUCAAAGAACUUGCCAUCUAAAUAGACAAGACAAAGGAUGGGAGAAAAGAAAUUAUUCCCAUUUUACAGAUGAGGAACUGAGGCAGUGAGAAAUUAAGUGAGUUGCUCAAGGUCGUACAGGAAGUCUGUGGCAGAGUUGGGACCUGCACUCAGAACUCCUGAGACCCAGGCCAGUGCCUUACCCACCAGACCAUCCUUUCUUCUCCCUCACAUCUCUGUUUAUUUAUUGGUCAGUAGAAACAAACACUGAUUUCCCCAAGAGAAAUAAAACUGAAUAUCUUCCACA
Molecule: long non-coding RNA, 2501 nt
Organism: Chrysemys picta bellii (western painted turtle)
Lineage: Eukaryota; Metazoa; Chordata; Testudines; Emydidae
Source: Ensembl